This is a non-coding RNA of Chelonoidis abingdonii (Abingdon island giant tortoise), 119 nucleotides long. The record is from RefSeq and is a predicted model, not a curated record. Lineage: Eukaryota; Metazoa; Chordata; Testudines; Testudinidae.
UAGGUCCAUCAAUGGCUAUUAGCCAGGAUGGGCAGGGAUGUCCCUAGCCUCUGUUUGCCAGAUGCUGGGAAUCAGCGACAGGCGAUGGAUCACUUGUUCUAUUCAUUCUCUCUGGGGCA